UUUAUAAAGCGCGGUACGCUAUUAAAUGAAGUAAUAAAUAAAAACUCCUGCGAAAUGAAAGUACGAGCUGUGCUUCUGGUGGUUCUCCUCGCCGUGUGGGCGACAUUCUCGGCGGCGCAGGUGUUCUCCUCCCGGCGCUCCAUGACAUGCGUCAACAACAAGUGUCAGUGCGUCGGUGACGGCUGCUGACCGCCAUCUUGUGGCGGGCGGCCAUCUUGUGGCGACCACACCAAAUGGCGGACGUGCUUAAUUUAAUCUCUUAAUGUAUUGGAAUACGAUUUGUUUUUA
This is a long non-coding RNA of Leguminivora glycinivorella, 288 nucleotides long. RefSeq lists it as uncharacterized. The record is from RefSeq and is a predicted model, not a curated record. NCBI's taxonomy places the organism in Eukaryota, Metazoa, Arthropoda, Insecta, Lepidoptera, Tortricidae. The transcript has 2 exons.